AACCCACCUCUACUGCCCCAUGUCACGGUCCCUGCGGGGCCAGGCCUGCCUGGCACGUCCACCCCGGGUCUCCCUGCCUCACCCUCUUGCGCAUCCACAGUGAACAGGGGCAUCUUUCCAAAAUGCAGAUCUGGCCGGGUGCGGCGGCUCAUGCCUGUAAUCCCAGCACUUUGGGAGGCCGAAGCAGGUGGAUCACAUGAAGUCAGAAGUUGGAGACUAGCCUGGCCAACAUGCCUCCAGCAUCGCCUCCUCUGGGAUCUUCUCUGACUUCCCAGUCGGUUUCAGAAGCCUCUGAUGACCCCAUGCGGAGAAGACUGCUCCCCUCACUGCUGGCACACGGCAGAUGCUCAACACUUGCUCCAGCUUCGCCUUCCGCCGCGAGUUGAAGCUCCCCGAGGCCUCCUCAGAAGCAGAAGCCACCACGCUUCCUGUACAGCCUGUGGGACCCGGAGCCAGUUCAACCUCUUUUCUUUAUAAAUUACCCAGACUCGGCCGGGCACGGUGGCUCACGCCUGUAAUCCCAGCACUUUGUUGAGACCGAGGCAGGCAGAUCACGAGGUCAGGAGAUCGAGAACAUCCUGGCUAACACGGUGAAACCCCGUCUCUACUAAAAAUACAAAAAAUUAGCCGGGCGUGGUGGCGGGCGCCUGUGGUCCCAGCUACUCGGGAGGCUGAGGCAGGAGAAUGGUGUGAACCCGGG
This 700-nucleotide long non-coding RNA is filed under the name Homo sapiens (human). Its description in RNAcentral is "HSALNT0246622". The record is from RNAcentral. Lineage: Eukaryota; Metazoa; Chordata; Mammalia; Primates; Hominidae.